UCAAACUUGGUCAUUUAGAGGAAGUAAAAGUCGUAACAAGGUUUCCGUAGGUGAACCUGCGGAAGGAUCAUUAUCAAGUGAGCCCCUGUUUCGGGGUAUCGCCUGCCCGUGUUUAUUAUACUUUUGUUGCUUUGGCGGGCCGUGGCCUCCACUGUGGGUUUUGCUCGCAAGUGCCCGCCAGAGGACCAAACUCUGAAUGUUAGUGAUGUCUGAGUAUUAUUUAAUAAUUAAAACUUUCAACAACGGAUCUCUUGGUUCUGGCAUCGAUGAAGAACGCAGC
This 280-nucleotide unclassified non-coding RNA is filed under the name uncultured fungus. RNAcentral's name for it is "partial contains small subunit ribosomal RNA, internal transcribed spacer 1, and 5.8S ribosomal RNA". The stretch from base 1 to 73 matches the Rfam family "Eukaryotic small subunit ribosomal RNA", at positions 1759 to 1831 of the family's 1831-position model. Lineage: Eukaryota; Fungi. The record is from RNAcentral.